Molecule: ribosomal RNA, 376 nt
Filed under: uncultured eukaryote
Lineage: Eukaryota
Description: SSU rRNA
Rfam family: Eukaryotic small subunit ribosomal RNA
Source: RNAcentral
AGCUCCAUUAGUGUAUAUUAAAGUUGUUGCGGUUAAAAAGCUCGUAGUUGGAUUUCUGUUGGGUAUCGCGUGGUCUGCUCCUCGAGUACGUAUCUGCGUCGAUCCUGGCAUCCUCGCAACGCUCUGUGGCAUUAAUUUGCUGCUUGGCUUGCGACUUUUACUUUGAGGAAAUUAGAGUGUUCACGGCAGGCAUUUGCUUUGAAUAUAUUAGCAUGGAAUAAUAACAUAGGACUUCGGUUUUAUUUUGUUGGUUUCUAAGGCUGAAGUAAUGAUUAAUAGGGACAAUUGGGGGCACUCGUACAAAUCCGUCAGAGGUGGAAUUCUUGGAUUGGAUUUUGACGAACUACUGCGAAAGCAUUUGCCAAGGAUGUUUUCA